UCUUGUUAUUUUCUUUAUCAAUCCUUCUUCCUUCUGUGCAAAACCUAGAUCUAAAUCGAUUCUCCUUCGACGUCAUCCCUAUCUGCCGUCGAGCUUUCUACGGCCUCCGUUCACAUCUCUUUUUCUUUGGAUUGAGGUCUAAAGAAGCUCUAAUAGAUAGUAGAACCCGAAGCGAAGAAAUCCCAAAGAGAGCCGGAGGCCGAGCUUGACCGUGAACCCUCCAAACUUGUUGCUGGAACUUUUCGCCCUUGGCUGCUAACUAAACAUUCUUGUGCUAUUUUUUGGGGGUUUUGAGAUCAGAUGCUGUGAUAUCAGUGUGAAGGGUCCACGUUACAGCGAAGCUGGCGGCCUGUUAGAAGUUCUACCCGGUUUAGGGUGUCGUAGGGGAGGGAUUGACCUUUCUAACGCAUAUGCAGUCCUACCGGUAUGACCUCACUGAUUUGUUUGCUGAUCUUGAUCGUGGUCUUUAAUUAGCUUUUUUGUUGAUGUGCUGAAAAAUUUUACUCUUUUGGGUUGUUUUUGGUGCGAAAUAUGGGACUUUCACUUCAUUUAAAUUUUGGAAGACAAUUUUUAGUACUUGUUUAUUAAAAAAGGUGUUGCUUUGAAUAAGAGUUAUUGAGUGUAGAAUUAAAGAUUCGAAA
Long non-coding RNA from Theobroma cacao (cacao), 641 nucleotides. RefSeq lists it as uncharacterized. The record is from RefSeq and is a predicted model, not a curated record. Lineage: Eukaryota; Viridiplantae; Streptophyta; Magnoliopsida; Malvales; Malvaceae.